Long non-coding RNA from Nanorana parkeri, 290 nucleotides. RefSeq lists it as uncharacterized. The record is from RefSeq and is a predicted model, not a curated record. The transcript is spliced from 3 exons. Lineage: Eukaryota; Metazoa; Chordata; Amphibia; Anura; Dicroglossidae.
GCGGGAUUACAGCUGCUUGGGGAGCUCAACCUGACCCUGUGCUGGGUGACACAGCCGAAAGCGGGUCACUGGGGGGGUGCAUUUACCCCAACAGCCACCACAGGGCUUCGGUGAAUGGGUCAUGGCAUCCCGAACGCCCGGAACGUCCUUGUCACGGAGGAAUUAUCGGCUGUCUACAGAGCCUGAGAAGACAAAACUGACAGGAAUUGUGAGCGAGCGGCUCCAGAGUCAGUAUCUGCACCGGAUCUUCCCGGGUAAGGACGGCGCUCAGCAUGGUGCCACCUACAGGU